AACGAACGCUGGCGGCAUGCCUAACACAUGCAAGUCGAACGAGAGCUUCGGGUCUGGUUGCGCAUGGGGGCGUAACGCGGGGGAACCUGCCCUUAGAUUCGGAAUAACUCCCUGAAAGGGGUGCUAAUAUCGGGUAAUGUCUUCGGACCAAAGAUUUAUCGCCUUUGGAUGGGCCGGCGUUGGAUUAGCUAGUUGGUAGGGUAAAAGCCUACCAAGGCGACGAUCCAUAGCUGGUCUGAGAGGAUGAUCAGCCACACUGGGACUGAGACAGGAGCGAGACACCUUCGGCAGGCAGCAGAGGGGUAAAUUGGACAAUGCGCGAGAGUGAAAUACAGCUAUGCCGCGUAAGUGAUGAAGGCUUGAGGAUUGUAAAACUCUGUUACCACGGAGGAUUAUGAAAGUACCGCAAAGAUGAACUCCGGGUAACUCCGUG
Molecule: ribosomal RNA, 433 nt
Filed under: uncultured bacterium
Lineage: Bacteria
Description: partial 16S ribosomal RNA
Rfam family: Bacterial small subunit ribosomal RNA
Source: RNAcentral